CCGGCUAGCCGGUGCAGGAUCCACAAUCUUCAAGGGUGGCCAGGUGCUUCCAAGAUCCUAAACGCAGUUAACCACUCGGCGAGGUAGAAAACAGGCCCAGAGAAGUUCAAGAACUUGCUGUAGAAGAUUACUGAACGAGUAAGCAGCAGAGGCCGGUCUAGAACCAGCCCCGUGUGCCCUUCUGACAGCGCAGCAGCAGCACUUAACACCUAACCGGCUUGGCUAAAUUCUAUGUGAGAGGCACUGGUGCUGACGGUAAAAAUAAAAACAAAACACCAUCCAGUCCAGAGGCAGCUUACAGCUCAAUAGAGAAGGAUGAAUUCAAAAUUCUUCUGGCAUUAUUACUUGCCAAAGAAGAGUGGGGACAUGUGUCCCUCUUCUGCCAUACUGUGACCUGGACAGAAGAAAGUGAAUAACGACAUUUUUCUCCCUGAAGCCUUCGGGAGCUUGGCCUGCAGAAGCCUCUUCUUGGUUAGGACUCAGAACCCUCUCAGAACAUUGUGACCUGCCAGAGCUGGCAUUGCACAGAGACCUUCCUGGGCAACCCUUGAUUCACCGUCCCAUAAAUGUCCAGAUGGAGGAAGUGGUCUGGGGAAGAUGGACCAUUACGAAGAUUAAUGCACCUUUUAU
RNAcentral lists this long non-coding RNA (630 nucleotides) under Homo sapiens (human). RNAcentral's name for it is "AVPR1B divergent transcript (AVPR1B-DT)". Lineage: Eukaryota; Metazoa; Chordata; Mammalia; Primates; Hominidae. The record is from RNAcentral.